GAGUAAAGAUUUCGGUCGCUUUGGGAGGAGCUCGCUUACUAUCAGCUUGUUGGUAGGGUAAUGGCCUACCAAGGCUAUGACGGUUAGGGGGUGUGAGAGCAUGACCCCCAGCAUUGGCACUGAAACACUGGCCAAACACCUACGGGUGGCUGCAGUCGAGAAUCUUCCACAAUGGGGGAAACCCUGAUGGAGCGAUGCUGCGUGCGGGAUGAAGGCCUUCGGGUUGUAAACCGCUUUUGUAGGGGACGAAAUUUUUGACGGUACCCUUUCGAAUAAGAGGUUGCUAACUCUGUGCCAGCAGCAGCGGUAAUACAGAGACCUCAAGUGUUAUCCGGAUUUACUGGGCGUAAAGCGUCUGUAGGGGGUUUAUUAAGUUCCAAGUAAAAUUUCAAGGCUCAACUUUGAAUUCGCUUGGAAAACUAAUAAACUGGAGUCUAGCAGAGGUGCAUGGAACUUGUGGUGUAGGAGUGAAAUCCGUUGAUAUCACAAGGAACACCAAAGGCGAAGGCAUUGCACUGGGCUAGCACUGACCCUGAGAGACGAAAGCGUGGGGAGCAAAACGGAUUAGAUACCCGUGUAGUCCACGCCCUAAACGAUGAAUGCUAAAUGUUCGGGGAUUCGACCCCCUGGGUGUUACAGCUAACGCGUUAAGCAUUCCGCCUGGGAAGUACGGCCGCAAGGCUAAAACUCAAAGGAAUAGACGGGGAUCCGCACAAGCGGUGGAGCGUCUGGUUUAAUUCGACAGUAAGCGUGGUACCUCACCAGGGUUUGACAUCCCUUGACAGCCUUGGAAACAAGGUUUCCUUCGGGCAAGGUGACAGGUGCUGCAUGGUCGUCGUCAGUUCGUGCCGUGAGGUGUUCCGUUAAGUCGGGAAACGAACGAAACCCCUAUUGCAUGUUACAAUUUCUCAUGCAAGACUGCCCGGAUAUACUGGGAGGAAGGUGGGGAUGACGUCAGAUCUGCAUGGUCCUUAUACCCUGGGCGACACAGGCGCUACAAUGGCAGAGACAAAGGGUUGCAAAACCGCAAGGUGAAGCUAAUCCCAAAAACUUUGUCUAAGUUCGGAUUGAAGGCUGCAAUUCGCCUUCAUGAAGCUGGAAUCGCUAGUAAUCGUGAAUCAGCCACGUCACGGUGAAUAUGUUCCCGGAUCUUGUACUCACCGCCCGUCACACCAAGAGAGUUGGUAGCUCCCGA
Molecule: ribosomal RNA, 1195 nt
Filed under: uncultured organism
Description: bacterial SSU rRNA
Rfam family: Bacterial small subunit ribosomal RNA
Source: RNAcentral